This 253-nucleotide ribosomal RNA is filed under the name uncultured bacterium. Its description in RNAcentral is "partial 16S ribosomal RNA". It matches the Rfam family "Bacterial small subunit ribosomal RNA", at positions 524 to 776 of the family's 1533-position model. The record is from RNAcentral.
UACAUGGGGUGCAAACGUUGCUCGGAAUCAUUGGGCGUAAAGCGCGCGUAGGCGGUUACUUAGGUCGAAUGUGAAAGCCCUCGGCUUAACCGAGGAAGUGCAUCCGAAACUGAGUAGCUAGAGUACGAAAGAGGGUCGCGGAAUUCCCGGUGUAGAGGUGAAAUUCGUAGAUAUCGGGAGGAACACCGGUGGCGAAGGCGGCGACCUGGGUCGAGACUGACGCUGAGGCGCGAAAGCGUGGGGAGCAAACAGG